UACGUAGGGGGCAAGCGUUGUCCGGAUUUAUUGGGCGUAAAGAGCGUGUAGGCGGCCAGACAGGUCCGUUGUGAAAACUCGAGGCUCAACCUCGAGACGCCGAUGGAAACCGUCUGGCUAGAGUCCGGAAGAGGAGAGUGGAAUUCCUGGUGUAGCGGUGAAAUGCGCAGAUAUCAGGAGGAACACCGGUGGCGAAGGCGCCACUCUGGGCCGAAACUGACGCUGAGGAGCGAAAGCGUGGGUAGCAAACAGG
This 253-nucleotide ribosomal RNA is filed under the name uncultured bacterium. RNAcentral describes it as "partial 16S ribosomal RNA". It matches the Rfam family "Bacterial small subunit ribosomal RNA", at positions 524 to 776 of the family's 1533-position model. The record is from RNAcentral.